UGACUCUAGAGCUGUGUCCACACUGUCGACAUCUUCAAUCUCUAAACUCAGAUCUAUUAGAGUCUCAUAUGUGUCAGAACAAUGGCCACAAUUACAACACCGCAAUUUGCUAACUAAACGACCUCCAAAAGCCUGCUUCACAAUGUUGUCAGUCUCUAAAGUUUGGCAGUCUUUUGAUUUUGAAUCAUCAUAACAUCUUUCAAGUUUAUCCAGGAAACACUGUAGAAACUCAUGAGCAUCUUCCUGUUGGAACCGAUGGAAAGUAGAAGAAAAAUAGUUCAAGUUGUUAACAAAUUUCCAGGG
Molecule: unclassified non-coding RNA, 303 nt
Filed under: Hevea brasiliensis (rubber tree)
Lineage: Eukaryota; Viridiplantae; Streptophyta; Magnoliopsida; Malpighiales; Euphorbiaceae
Source: RNAcentral